This 1125-nucleotide long non-coding RNA is filed under the name Coturnix japonica (Japanese quail). RNAcentral describes it as "lncRNA (ENSCJPG00005007878.1)". Lineage: Eukaryota; Metazoa; Chordata; Aves; Galliformes; Phasianidae. The record is from RNAcentral.
GACGGAAUUGAGUAUCACCCACAGCUUGCAGGUUGGGGCUUAGCUCUACAGUCACCUCUUGGCCUGUGGUCAGGAGCCUACAAUUCACCCUGGCUGCCUACUGUAACCUUGCUCUGCCCACCUUGCUAUGUGCUGUGGGCUGUGCCUCACCAUCACCUCAUCUCCCUCUCUGCAUGGCAGAGCAGCCUAUCCCCCUGUGCUUUGAGUCUCACAGUGAAAGGCAGAAGUAUCCUGUUUCCUGACUUCAAGCAUGGAGGCACAGAGGUUGCCCUGCUAAGAGAGGUUUUUCUCAUAAACAGACCUCAUCCUAAAAGAACAAAAAACAAAAACCAACAAACAAAACAAACAAAAAAAGACAUGGUACACUUGAAUGCUUUAAUAAUUAGCAUAUCUCUUUUAGAGUGAUUGCUUUCUGCUUGGUUUUCUGACUUAUGGAUUCACCAGACUUUUUUGUGUGUUGUAACUAAAUACAUAGCUGGCACUAUCUUUGUAUGUUGACUGUCUUGAUAAUGCCUGAUUAUGGAGAAAUUGUCACACUGAGGAUCAAAUGCUCCACUUUACCUAUUCUUCCUCUGUGAAUCACUCUUUGUUUCAAAACUUCUUAACCCCUUUAUUUGAUCAAGAAUAACAACUUCACCAAUGAUGAGGUGCCUGUUCUAGUCUUCUGUAAGCAAGAACAAGCAUUAAUACCACACAUGAUAUAAGGAAGUAAAUGUGCUUUAAAGAGCUUUUAAAGAGCUCUAGAAACAGGAAGAACAGGAAAAAAAUCCCACUGUUCAUUCCCUCAUUCUUUCUUUUCUUUAUGUGUUAUGUUCUCCAAAACUGUUCUCUAAUACUCUUCUCAUCAAAUUGUUGUGGCUUCUGAAUUUCUUUUCAUUUAUUUUUUACUGUAUUUUACUCAAUUUUUGCUGCACAUUAGAAUAUAUACCUUGGAAUCUUUACUCUGUGAUCUAAUUGAGAUGCAUUUUUUACGAGGUGAUGAGUUAGUCCACAUUAAGAGGGUUGCAAAGGUAAUCAAGAAUACAAAUGAGCUAAUUUCUCAAACAAAAAAGUUUUGUAACAAAGCCUGGAUCAACAGUGUUAAAUUUAUUUUCUAAUACAAAAUAAAUCCAAAUUUCCAUCACA